GCAAGUCGAGCGAUCCCUUCGGGGAUAGCGGCGGACGGGUGAGUAACGCGUUGUAACAUACCCAGAGGUACGGAACAACAGUUGGAAACGACUGCUAAUACCGUAUACGCCCUACGGGGGAAAGAAUUUCGCCUUUGGAUUGGCCCGCGUUGGAUUAGAUAGUUGGUGGGGUAACGGCCUACCAAGUCGACGAUCCAUAGCUGGUUUGAGAGGAUGAGC
Molecule: ribosomal RNA, 219 nt
Filed under: uncultured bacterium
Lineage: Bacteria
Description: partial 16S ribosomal RNA
Rfam family: Bacterial small subunit ribosomal RNA
Source: RNAcentral